RNAcentral lists this non-coding RNA (105 nucleotides) under Picochlorum sp. RCC944. Lineage: Eukaryota; Viridiplantae; Chlorophyta; Trebouxiophyceae. The record is from RNAcentral.
UGUGAGAAAGAGCGAGAACCAAGCCCACACCAAAAAAAAAAAAACCAAUUUUGACAAUACAGAGAAUUCAUUUUUGUAAUUUUACUUUUUCCCCUUGUUUUUUUU